GAUUCUGGACAUUUUUUGUGGGCUAAAAUGGAUUCUAAUCACAGCGGUUAUAUUUCAUUGACGUCACCGACAUUUCAACCAGAUGUAUCGUAUUGUUUUAGUCUUUGGUAUUAUACGCCGGACCAAAACUUCAUCAGUUUAUUUGUUUUGGUAAAAUUCUUUCAAUAAUUGGUCUUAAAAUUGAUAUAAAUUGAAACAUGAAGAAAAAAGUAAAUCACAAAAAUACUGAAAUGACAAAACACAUAAAAAACGAAUGGAAAAAUAACUAUACAAAAAGUAAGCAUUUAAAAAACAUAUCUUUGAUUGUACUUUAAUGUGGUUUUUGGAUAGCAUUGGAGUGAUAUACACGAACAUACUUGUACAAAAUGCUAUAAGUUCAGAUCUAAAUGACGAAAAGGCAAACGAUGUGUAUACAAAAUCUAAUUUAAUGAUCGAAUGUUGUAUGUGAAAACAUGAUUUUGAUUAAGGGUGUCAUCAACAUUGAAUAUGAUACGCUCUUCUGUAUUGUAGGAGGAGAAAGUCAUGUAUAGCCUCAUACACGAGUAUCGUUUAGUGGCUAAAGUUGAAAAUGAAUGGACAAAAUUUCAAACAACUCUAAACCAUACAGAUUCGUUUAAAAUAAGGAUCGAAGCACAUAUUAUCGCACAUUCAAACAGACAACAGAGCCGAGUGUCCAUCGACAAUAUUGAAGUUGAAGGAGGACCUUGCAAUUAAAU
Molecule: long non-coding RNA, 716 nt
Filed under: Mytilus galloprovincialis (Mediterranean mussel)
Lineage: Eukaryota; Metazoa; Mollusca; Bivalvia; Mytilida; Mytilidae
Source: RNAcentral